This is a long non-coding RNA of Hordeum vulgare subsp. vulgare (domesticated barley), 1431 nucleotides long. RefSeq lists it as uncharacterized. Lineage: Eukaryota; Viridiplantae; Streptophyta; Magnoliopsida; Poales; Poaceae. The record is from RefSeq and is a predicted model, not a curated record. The transcript has 3 exons.
UCUCAACUCCACACCUUUCUAGAUUGUUGUUUAGUGGUUGAUACAAUACUCAGUUUGGUGGUUUCCUUUUGUUUUUGCUGUAGAGAGUGGAUGUUUCAAAAUGGUGUGGACAGUUUGAGAAGCAAUAGAUGUUUUUUAAGUCCUAGAGAAGUCUAUAUCAAUUGUGAGGAUUUGAUGAUUGUCAACAAGCGUUGGAGCAGACUACGGACACGCGCAGUGUUCAAGACAAUGUGUGUGCCUUGGGAAGCACACGCUGAGACUUCAAGAUGAGCUCUUCCCGGUCCUCUAUCUCGGCUUGUGCGUUUGUCAUUUAUUUUGCUUGUGUGGUGUUGUCUGUUUGGCAAAAAUGCCAAAACCAGCGAUGAUGUUGGACAAAGCCUGUUCUUCUUGGUAUAUAUAUUAAAUAGAUUUUCUAUGGCCCCUAAUCCACUUCUGUGGAGUUCGACAAAUUCAUCGUGGGAACCGUUAACAAUUCACGUUCGAUAGGUUGCUGAGUGUCUGCUUGUCUUAUGUCUUUAUUUUGCAUCGCUAUUGAUAUGUUGUUUUGCUUCAUUAUUUACUGCUUCCUCUUGUUUGUUGACCGGCUAUUGGUUGCAUUACAUUUGUGUGCUCUGCAUUCUCCACUUCUAUGUCAUGAAAAGAUUAUUGAUUAAUAAAAUAGAAUGUUUUCCUAUGCCUCUUAUAGUCUAUUCGCAUGUCCUAUCAUCCCAUCGUUCUUCCUUUUUAUUGCUUUGCUUGUUGUUUCUUACACAUGUGUAGAUUAGCUGAAGGGUUUGUUCUACUCUGUUCCCUGAAUCCUGUGAACCAUUGUAAUUUCUGCCAUGUUUUUCUUCUUCUUCAUUUUCAUGUGGAAGUAUUUGAUAUCCUGGGGAUGGAUGAUUUAUUAGAAGAAUGACCCAAAAAAUUUGAAUCUCGUGGUACAAGAAUCAGCAUGAAUGCUGAAACAUUGUUUUUUGCUGAAGAUAAGGUGCAGAUUGGAUCAAGCGUAGAUGCGAACGGUGUAAAUUGAUGGAUAGUGGUGUGCGACAACGGAAGGGAUGACAGUGGCGUGGCGGUGGUAUAUGGCAACAUCGAUGAAGAUGGUGCGGCGGCGGUGUGACAACUUGUGAACAGAACUCGAAACUCUAAAAAACUAUACGCUAAGACCAGCAACUUGACACGACGAUGCAACCCAUAAUUCAACUAUGCAAGCACUAAAAAGAAAACUGCACAGGCUCAGACUGGCUUGGACAAAGUAUGACUAGAUCUAACUCUUUUUGUGGUUUUUCUUGGGUAAUAGGUAAGAAAAAUAAAUCUAAUAUAGGGACAACUGGAAAUUCUCAGCGAGCAACCUCAAAACUGAUACCACUUGAUAGGACCAUAAAGGCGAGGGUCCCGAUCUUUCGAUGAGAUGAUAACUAUCGAUUUGAUGAAGACGACUUUGAUGAUACA